AUUGAACGCUGGCGGCAGGCCUAACACAUGCAAGUCGAGCGAGCGGCGGACGGGUGAGUAAUGUAUGGGGACUGCCCGAUAGAGGGGGAUAACUACUGGAAACGGUGGCUAAUACCGCAUACUAUCGGAUAACCCAUAUGGGAUUAGCUAGUGGGUGGGGUAAAGGCUCACCUAGGCGACGAUCUCUAGCUGGUCUGAGAGGAUGAUCGGCCACACUGGAACUGAGACACGGCCCAGACUCCUACGGAGGCAGCAGUGGGGAAUAUUGCACAAUGGGCGAAGGCCGGAUACAGCAAGUCGGCGUGUAUAAAGAAGGCCUUAGGGUUGUAAAGUACUUUCAGCGGGGAGGCGUUACCCGAAGAGGAAGCAACGGCUAACUCCGUGCCAGCAGCCGCGGUAAUUC
Molecule: ribosomal RNA, 403 nt
Filed under: uncultured bacterium
Lineage: Bacteria
Description: partial 16S ribosomal RNA
Rfam family: Bacterial small subunit ribosomal RNA
Source: RNAcentral